This 372-nucleotide ribosomal RNA is filed under the name uncultured bacterium. Its description in RNAcentral is "bacterial SSU rRNA". It matches the Rfam family "Bacterial small subunit ribosomal RNA", at positions 526 to 896 of the family's 1533-position model. The record is from RNAcentral.
CGGGGGGUGCAAGCGUUGUUCGGAUUUAUUGGGCGUAAAGCGCGUGUAGGCGGUUUUUUAAGUCUGAUGUGAAAGCCCUGGGCUCAACCCGGGAAGUGCAUUGGAUACUGGAAGACUUGAAUACGGGAGAGGGCAGUGGAAUUCCUAGUGUAGGAGUGAAAUCCGUAGAUAUUAGGAGGAACACCGGUGGCGAAGGCGGCUGCCUGGACCGAUAUUGACGCUGAGACGCGAAAGCGUGGGUAGCAAACAGGAUUAGAUACCCUGGUAGUCCACGCCGUAAACGAUGAGAACUAGGUGUUGCGGGUAUUGACCCCUGCAGUGCCGUAGCUAACGCAUUAAGUUCUCCGCCUGGGAAGUACGGUCGCAAGACUA